GCUCGGUGUGGUGGUGCACACCUGUAAUCACAGCUGAGGCUGAGGCUGAGGCAGGAGGAUUGCAAGUUUGAAGUCAGCCUGGGCAACUUAGCAAGAACCUGUCCCAG
This 107-nucleotide small RNA is filed under the name Marmota monax (woodchuck). The record is from RNAcentral. Lineage: Eukaryota; Metazoa; Chordata; Mammalia; Rodentia; Sciuridae.